Molecule: unclassified non-coding RNA, 337 nt
Filed under: soil metagenome
Description: partial contains 5.8S ribosomal RNA, internal transcribed spacer 2, and large subunit ribosomal RNA
Rfam family: 5.8S ribosomal RNA (bases 1-120)
Source: RNAcentral
GAUGAAGAACGUAGCGAAAUGCGAUAAGUAAUGUGAAUUGCAGAAUUCAGUGAAUCAUCGAAUCUUUGAACGCACAUUGCGCCCGCCAGCAUUCUGGCGGGCAUGCCUGUUCGAGCGUCAUUUCAACCCUCAAGCUCUGCUUGGUGUUGGGGCCCUACGGUUGACGUAGGCCCUUAAAGGUAGUGGCGGACCCUCUCGGAGCCUCCUUUGCGUAGUAACUAACGUCUCGCAUUGGGAUUCGGAGGGACUCUUGCCGUAAAACCCCCAAAUUUUCUAAUGGUUGACCUCGGAUCAGGUAGGAAUACCCGCUGAACUUAAGCAUAUCAAAAGCGGAGGA